RNAcentral lists this ribosomal RNA (253 nucleotides) under uncultured bacterium. Its description in RNAcentral is "partial 16S ribosomal RNA". It matches the Rfam family "Bacterial small subunit ribosomal RNA", at positions 524 to 776 of the family's 1533-position model. The record is from RNAcentral.
UACGAAGGGGGCUAGCGUUGUUCGGCAUUACUGGGCGUACAGCGCGCGCAGGCGGCUAGCCAAGUCAGUGGUGAAAGCCCGGAGCUCAACUCCGGAACUGCCAUUGAAACUGUUUAGCUUGAGGACGAGAGAGGUGAGUGGAAUUCCCAGUGUAGAGGAGAAAUUCGUAGAUAUUGGGAAGAACACCGGUGGCGAAGGCGGCUCACUGGCUCGUAUCUGACGCUCAGGCGCGAUAGCGUGGGGAUCAAACAGG